GNACAGAGUUCAUCGUUGAUGAUCGGUGCUUGCACCGAGAUUCAACAUGGAACGAGUGGCGGACGGGUGAGUAACACGUGGGUAACCUGCCCUUAAGUGGGGGAUAACAUUUGGAAACAGAUGCUAAUACCGCAUAGAUCCAAGAACCGCAUGGUUCUUGGCUGAAAGAUGGCGUAAGCUAUCGCUUUUGGAUGGACCCGCGGCGUAUUAGCUAGUUGGUGAGGUAAUGGCUCACCAAGGCGAUGAUACGUAGCCGAACUGAGAGGUUGAUCGGCCACAUUGGGACUGAGACACGGCCCAAACUCCUACGGGAGGCAGCAGUAGGGAAUCUUCCACAAUGGACGCAAGUCUGAUGGAGCAACGCCGCGUGAGUGAAGAAGGCUUUCGGGUCGUAAAACUCUGUUGUUGGAGAAGAAUGGUCGGCAGAGUAACUGUUGUCGGCGUGACGGUAUCCAACCAGAAAGCCACGGCUAACUACGUGCCAGCAGCCGCGGUAAUACGUAGGUGGCAAGCGUUAUCCGGAUUUAUUGGGCGUAAAGCGAGCGCAGGCGGUUUUUUAAGUCUGAUGUGAAAGCCCUCGGCUUAACCGAGGAAGCGCAUCGGAAACUGGGAAACUUGAGUGCAAAAGAGGACAGUGGAACUCCAUGUGUAGCGGUGAAAUGCGUAAAAUAUGGAAGAACACCAUGGCUAAAUGUGGCUGUCUGGUCUGUAACUGACGCUGAGGCUCG
This 728-nucleotide ribosomal RNA is filed under the name Lacticaseibacillus paracasei. RNAcentral's name for it is "bacterial SSU rRNA". It matches the Rfam family "Bacterial small subunit ribosomal RNA", at positions 51 to 755 of the family's 1533-position model. The record is from RNAcentral. Lineage: Bacteria; Bacillati; Bacillota; Bacilli; Lactobacillales; Lactobacillaceae.